Sebastes umbrosus (honeycomb rockfish) is the source of this 144-nucleotide long non-coding RNA. RefSeq lists it as uncharacterized. The record is from RefSeq and is a predicted model, not a curated record. The transcript has 3 exons. NCBI's taxonomy places the organism in Eukaryota, Metazoa, Chordata, Actinopteri, Perciformes, Sebastidae.
CACGCAUCAGAAAAGAAUAAGAAGGAAGUUUACUUUAAACGCGUAAAAGGAAAUAUAUUUUUAGUAUGUCAUAAAAAAAGUCAUUAGUGUGUCAUAAAAAUGUCACAGUAUAGUAUGCCAUAAAAAUCUCUCACAUGGAGACGU